CUUGAACUCGAUUUUUGGUAGUUAUUGUAAUCGGAUAUUGUUCUUUAAAUGAUUAUCCUUUGAAACUAAAAAUCAGCUAUCCGGAAUAUAUCCAGCAUCAAGAAAAUCAUCGAAGGGGUAAGUGUAUCAGAAAAUUACUUCUGAAGGUUUUGAACCCCGUGAAUAACCAUCUGGUGCCG
This is a long non-coding RNA of Stegodyphus dumicola, 179 nucleotides long. The record is from RefSeq and is a predicted model, not a curated record. Lineage: Eukaryota; Metazoa; Arthropoda; Arachnida; Araneae; Eresidae.